Molecule: long non-coding RNA, 339 nt
Organism: Gasterosteus aculeatus aculeatus (three-spined stickleback)
Lineage: Eukaryota; Metazoa; Chordata; Actinopteri; Perciformes; Gasterosteidae
Source: Ensembl
CUCACACUCCAGCUCCCUCUUACACGUGAACAAAGAACUUGAACUCCUUCACUUGAGUAGAGACGGCAAGUUGGGAAAAAAAAGGAACGUCAAUACAUUCCUGUAGCAUUAAAAGGUUGUUGGUGAAUGUUUGGGAUCGGUCGUGUAGGGGCAGAUAACAACUGGAUCGCCUGAAGAUCAGAGCACAACGCCGACCUCGGCGAGACGCGUGUAUUCGGCACGCUAUCAGAUACCGCUCGUCCAAAAAGGCGUGAAAACUCCUCUGCAUGACGAGAGAGGUGGCAAUCUUGACUUGAUUGGUGGACGUGUUCAUAACUACCGCCGCUCUGCACUGCAAAC